Molecule: non-coding RNA, 3183 nt
Organism: Prunus avium (sweet cherry)
Lineage: Eukaryota; Viridiplantae; Streptophyta; Magnoliopsida; Rosales; Rosaceae
Source: RefSeq, a predicted model, not a curated record
GCUCAAUGAAAAGAAAGCAGCCGCCCAAUGGCAAGAAGGAUGGCAAGUUCUGAGGGUGUUGAUGGCAAGAUUAUGCAUACUUCACAAAGCAUCUUCCCCUUUUAAUUUUCUUUUAUUGAGCUCAUCGAUUCUGAGAUUGUUUCUCUCCCUUCUCUCUUCUCUCGUCUAUGCUCUCUCCUCUCACAACUCUUACGAGUGUCGCUCUGUUGCUCGUCUCUCUUUACGUUGCACGAAUCUCUCUUUAGCUCAUUCGCUCAAAAGGUGAAGCUAGUCUUCUCCUCGCAGAUUUGGAGCUUCUAGGUAUUGAUUUUAACUUUUUAAAAUUAUUUUCAUUUGAGUGUAAUUUGGGGCUGAUAAUUCCAGGGAAGAACCGGAGAGAAAUCUUUAAGUACGUCUUUCAAGAGGGAAUGUGGUGUGCAAAGGACAUCCAUAAUGACGCAUGUUGGUCCCAGCAAUGCUUUCUUUUGCCUGGGGGGUUCCCUUUGUGCUCGUUUUCUCAGGUUUGAUGCAUCUUAUAUAUGUACAUCUCUAUCACAUGUAAUUUGGUUGUGUUUAAUUCAUCUUCAAAGAAGUUUUACCUGCAAUUGGAAAUGGUUUCUGCUAGUGCUUGGGACUUCAAUCGAAUGCAAUAAUAUCAAUACUUUUUACUUCUUUCUUGAUCUGGAGCCUGAGGUAAUCCCGACUUCCCCUUCGAGACUGCCUCUAACUUAUCUUGGAUAUCUCUGUUGUACAAAGAUCUUCAAUUUUUGUGGAUUUUUUUUCCUUAUUUUGUUAAAUUUAAUGUUAAUGUCCUUGUUAUAUAUCUGAGAUUAUGUUAAAAAGAGCUCGCGCUAAUUGUUGUAUGUGGAAAAGGGCUCGAGCCUGUUCAGUCAGAAACUGUUUUUGUUGUAUUAUGUUUGUAAGUACUUUAAGAAGCCACUUUGCUUCUUAUAUUUGUACGGCUGGUUGAUAUUAUCAGCCUUUCCCCAGAAGACAACUCUUCUAUAUAUGUAUCAAGGAAAGUAGAUUAUCAAGGUAGGAAAAACAAGUCUGGUCCCAGAAGCAGAAGCCGACCUUUGAGUUCACCAUCACUGUCUUUUUUAUCCUCUUCUGGUGUUUGCAUAUUGAUCUCUUAGUGCUGCUAGUAUUAUAAGAAAGUCCAACAUGUUUCUCAUUCUGAAUAUGUUACAGCCAAUGUGCAGCUAGUGUUGUUAAUUUGCAUGUGUUACGAAUAUGCAUGGGUUUUUUGGUCAAGAAUAUAGCGAAGUUUUGAGUGUUGACUUGUAGUGGGUUUGCAGGUUAUCAAUAUGGCUGCUUCUUCCUCUGCUGCUGCAAUCCCACCUCAGUAAAAGUAUAAUGUGUUUCUUAGUUUCAGAGGUGAAGCCAUCUUUAUGCUGCUUUAUGCGCAAAGAAAAUCAAAACCUACAUAGAUGACAUACUUGAGAGAGGAGAGCAAAUUGCACCUGCCCUUCUCGAAGCAAUUGAGACAUCAAAGCUUUCAGUGAUCAUUUUCUCGAAAAACUAUGCUUCAUCCACAUGGUGUUUGGAUGAACUAGUGCAUAUACUGCGAUGCAAGGCAAGAGGGGGACAGUUUGGUCUACCGAUUUUUUACUGCAUCGACCCAUCACAUGUUCGAAAUCAGCAGGGAAGUUAUGCAUAUGCAUUUGCUCAACUUGAAACUUCAAGGACAGAACGGGGGAAGUUAUGAAGGUGUGCAAGUGGAGAGAUGCUUUGAAGGAAGCAGGCAAUAUGGCUGGGUUUGAUAAUUCAAACAAAACCGGGUAACGAACUCUGCUAUUUCUACUUGUGACCAUUUAAUUCAAACAAGAUUCCUUAAGGCUAAACAAUUGUUUGCCCUCAUAAUUGUAGAACUGUAAGUAGUGAGCUGAUUAGUAUAGUCUAAGCCUAGAACGAUAAUUGCGUAUGCACUUAGUCUCUUAGAAUGACAUGUGUAAGGCUCCAAAAUGUAAGGCUGAAAUAGCCACAUGUAGUGAUCCUAGAAUAGCUAGAUUUGUGGCUGAGAUUCAAUAUGUUGUGUGUGAAUCAAGCUAAGGCUAACGGUUAUGUAGUACACGCCUUGUAUGCUCAUUCUGAUAGAAGAUAUCUAAAUAUAUUCCUCUCUGCAAUUUCAGUAAGAGGGAAGCAGAACAUUUCAUCACUCGGCAUUUCUUCAUUCUUCUAUUCAUUCUCUUCAACAUUCCAUAACUCAGCUAAAAUACAAAACACUAACAAUAAUCAUAUUUGCCAGGACAAGGGCCAAUUUCGUUGCGAAUGUUGUCGAAUAUAUUUUGACCAAAUUGAAUCGCAAAUUGUCAAGUGAUUUAAGGGGCCUAGUCGGAAUUGAAUGGAAAAUUGAGCAAAUAGAAGGGUCAUUAUGCAUUAAUUCACCAGAUGUUUUAGUGCAGAAGCUUGAGAACUUAAAUAGUGAUGGAUCUUAGUUUCUCCACUUAUCUUGUUGAAGUCCCAGAUCUCUCUCAAAGUCGAAAAUUGGUGCAUAUAAAUCUUUUUGGCUGUACAAGUUUGGUUCAAAUGCCUUCGUAUUUUCAGUGUCUUGACAGGCUCACUCAUCUUGACCUGGGAGAAUGCUCGAAUCUCAAAUAUCUUCUGCAGAUGCCAAGUAACAUUGAAUUCUUAAAUUUGUCUAAAACUGCAAUAAAUAUGAAAGGUAUGUAAUAAUAUGAUAUCUAUAUAUUACAUAACCAAAUAUUUUUCAUGAACUAGUUCCUUCGAUUCUGCUUGAAAAGAGUACAUCUAGAGCAUGUUCUUUGUUUCAGUUACAGCCCAUGAGUUAGUUGACUUUUUUUAAAACCUAUAUGUAAUAUCAAAAUGUCAUAUCACUAAUGUUUCAUAUGUUUUUUACUGGCAGGCACAAAUCUAAUUUCAUUCAUAAGAUUGUUGAAGAGAUUUCAACACAAGUAUUAAACGCACCUAUUUGACUGUAACAAAGAACUCGUGUACAAGAUAUGAAAGAGCUUUUGGCCGUGUUUGGUGGGUUAGACUGGACAGGAUAUAUCCAAUUAAAAUGGACAUGGAUCCAAUCUGUUGUUUGAUUUCAUUCUCUAGUGGGUUUUCUUCUAUUUCCAGAGUUGAGCCCAUCACAUUUCAACAAUUGUUCGCAUGAUAGGUAUGGGGGGAUUGAAGGAAUAGGCAAGACAACAAUUGUUAAAGCUGUUUAUGAUUCAAUUGACUAUAAAUUUGAAGGUA